This 435-nucleotide ribosomal RNA is filed under the name uncultured bacterium. RNAcentral describes it as "SSU rRNA". It matches the Rfam family "Bacterial small subunit ribosomal RNA", at positions 26 to 518 of the family's 1533-position model. The record is from RNAcentral.
AGAAUGAACGCUAGCGAUAUGCUUAACACAUGCAAGUUGAACGUUGUUUUCGAGUCAAAAUGAAAACAAAGUGGCGAACGGGUGCGUAACACGUGGGAAUCUGCCAAACAGUUUGGGCCAAAUCCUGAAUGAAUGAAAGCUAAAAAGCGCUGUUUGAUGAGCCCACGUAGUAUUAGGUAGUUGGUUAGGUAAAAGCUGACCAAGCCUACGAUGCUUAGCUGGUCUUUUCGGAUGAUCAGCCACACUGGGACUGAGACACGGCCCAGACUCCUACGGGAGGCAGCAGUGGGGAAUCUUGGACAAUGGGCGAAAGCCUGAUCCGGCAAUAUGGCGUGAGUGAAGAAGGGCAACGCAGCCUGUAAAGCUCUUUCAUCGAGUGUGCGAUUGUGACAAGACUUGAAUAAGAAGCCCGGCUAACUCCGCGCCAGCAGCCGC